UAUCUCACAAGUGUCUGCCUUAUCAACUUUCGAUGGUAGUUUAUGUGCCUACCAUGGUUGUAACGGGUAACGGAGAAUAAGGGUUCGACUCCGGAGAGGGAGCCUGAGAAACGGCUACCACAUCCAAGGAAGGCAGCAGGCGCGCAAAUUACCCACUCUCGGCAUGAGGAGGUAGUGACGAAAAAUAACGAGACCGUUCUCUUUGAGGCCGGUUAUCGGAAUGGGUACAAUUUAAACCUGUUAACGAGGAUCUAUGAGAGGGCAAGUCUGGUGCCAGCAGCCGCGGUAAUUCCAGCUCUCAAAGUGUAUAUCGUCAUUGCUGCGGUUAAAAAGCUCGUAGUUGGAUCUGCGUCUUAGGACUUGGUCCAUCCGAUUGGAUGUGAACUAAGAACCUAGACUAAUAUUUAGCUAGUUUUACUGUAUGUUACCUUAAUUGGUUGCAUAUAGUGGCUGGCAUGUUUACCUUGAAAAAAUUAGAGUGCUUAACGCGGGCUUAUAAUGCUUGAAUACUCGUGCAUGGAAUAAUGAAAUAGGAUCUUGAUUGUUGUAUGCCUAUUUUGUUGGUCUAAAACAUAAAUACAAUUGAGAUAAUGGUUAAGAGGGACGGACGGGGGCAUUCGUAUCGCUGCGUGAGAGGUGAAAUUCUUGGACCGUAGCGAGACGCCCAACUGCGAAAGCAUUUGCCAAGAAUGUCUUCAUUAAUCAAGAACGAAAGUCAGAGGUUCGAAGGCGAUCAGAUACCGCCCUAGUUCUGACCGUAAACGAUACCAACUAGCGUUCCGUUGGCGGUAAAUACGCCUUGACGGGCAGCUUCCCGGAAACGAAAGUUUUUCGGUUCCGGGGGAAGUAUGGUUGCAAAGCUGAAACUUAAAGAAAUUGACGGAAGGGCACCACCAGGAGUGGAGCCUGCGGCUUAAUUUGACUCAACACGGGAAAACUCACCUGGCCCGGACACCGUGAGGAUUGACAGAUUGAAAGCUCUUUCAUGAUUCGGUGGUUGGUGGUGCAUGGCCGUUCUUAGUUGGUGGAGUGAUUUGUCUGGUUUAUUCCGAUAACGAGCGAGACUCUAGCCUACUAAAUAGUUUAUGCUGGAUAAAUGUAUUCGUACGCUAGUCCAGACAACUUCUUAGAGGGACAAGCGGUGUUUAGCCGCAUGAAGUUGAGCAAUAACAGGUCUGUGAUGCCCUUAGAUGUCCAGGGC
RNAcentral lists this ribosomal RNA (1201 nucleotides) under Thelazia callipaeda (thelaziosis nematode). RNAcentral describes it as "SSU rRNA". It matches the Rfam family "Eukaryotic small subunit ribosomal RNA", at positions 293 to 1487 of the family's 1831-position model. The record is from RNAcentral. Lineage: Eukaryota; Metazoa; Nematoda; Chromadorea; Rhabditida; Thelaziidae.